This 253-nucleotide ribosomal RNA is filed under the name uncultured bacterium. RNAcentral's name for it is "partial 16S ribosomal RNA". It matches the Rfam family "Bacterial small subunit ribosomal RNA", at positions 524 to 776 of the family's 1533-position model. RNAcentral also lists the same sequence under 1 other name. The record is from RNAcentral.
UACGUAGGGGGCAAGCGUUGUCCGGAUUCAUUGGGCGUAAAGAGCGUGUAGGCGGCCAGGUAGGUCCGUUGUGAAAACUCGAGGCUCAACCUCGAGACGUCGAUGGAAACCAUCUGGCUAGAGUCCGGAAGAGGAGAGUGGAAUUCCUGGUGUAGCGGUGAAAUGCGCAGAUAUCAGGAAGAACACCUAUGGCGAAGGCAGCUCUCUGGGACGGUACUGACGCUGAGACGCGAAAGCGUGGGGAGCGAACAGG